UUGACCUCGAAUCAGGUAGGAAUACCCGCUGAACUUAAGCAUAUCAAUAAGCGGAGGAAAAGAAACCAACAGGGAUUGCCCCAGUAACGGCGAGUGAAGCGGCAACAGCUCAAAUUUGAAAUCUGGCUCUCGGGCCCGAGUUGUAAUUUGUAGAGGAUGCUUUUGGUGAGGUGCCUUCCGAGUUCCCUGGAACGGGACGCCAUAGAGGGUGAGAGCCCCGUCUGGUUGGA
This 230-nucleotide ribosomal RNA is filed under the name [Neocosmospora] rubicola. RNAcentral describes it as "Neocosmospora rubicola partial 28S ribosomal RNA". It matches the Rfam family "Eukaryotic large subunit ribosomal RNA", at positions 1 to 233 of the family's 3401-position model. Lineage: Eukaryota; Fungi; Ascomycota; Sordariomycetes; Hypocreales; Nectriaceae. The record is from RNAcentral.